RNAcentral lists this ribosomal RNA (439 nucleotides) under uncultured bacterium. RNAcentral describes it as "partial 16S ribosomal RNA". It matches the Rfam family "Bacterial small subunit ribosomal RNA", at positions 339 to 795 of the family's 1533-position model. The record is from RNAcentral.
CUACGGGGCGCUCCAGUAGGGAAUAUUGGACAAUGGGCGAAAGCCUGAUCCAGCAACGCCGCGUGUGCGAUGACGGCCUUCGGGUUGUAAAGCACUUUUAGAGGAGAUGAGAAAGGACAGUAUCCUCAGAAUAAGCCUCGGCGAACUACGUGCCAGCAGCCGCGGUAAAACGUAGGAGGCAAGCGUUAUCCGGAUUUAUUGGGCGUAAAGCGCGUGCAGGCGGUCUAGCAAGUUGGAUGUGAAAGCUCCCGGCUUAACCGGGAGAGGUCGUUCAAUACUGUUAGACUAGAGAAUGGGAGAGGGAGGUGGAAUUCUGGGUGUAGUGGUGAAAUGCGUAGAUAUCCAGAGGAACACCAGUGGCGAAAGCGGCCUCCUGGACCAUUUCUGACGCUAAGACGCGAAAGCUAGGGUAGCAAACGGAUUAGAUACCCCGGUAGUC